This 221-nucleotide long non-coding RNA is filed under the name Elaeis guineensis (African oil palm). RNAcentral describes it as "long non-coding RNA (EGUI_LNC033550)". Lineage: Eukaryota; Viridiplantae; Streptophyta; Magnoliopsida; Arecales; Arecaceae. The record is from RNAcentral.
AACUAAGGCUAGCAUCGUAGAGAGUUUGUUCGAUCAUCAGUUCUCUCUACGGUGGGACCACCAUAUCUUUCAGUCGGUGGAAAUCCUUCCGAUCGUCGAUCUCCACCCGAUUGUUCUCGUUCGGGCCGAUCCUUGGAUCAUCCCAGCAUGAAGGAAAGCCUCAGGGAAGAGAAGAGGAAAUAAAAAAAAAUUGGUUCAUCUAUCUAUAGAUGGACGAUAGA